GAACGUCGGGAAAAAGGAAGAUGUUCUGCGACUGACUGUUCAACCCCGAUCAACAACUAAGUUUCAUGAGAAUGUCCCAGCUUGCUGAACUGUUGGAAUCAUGAAAUGAUUUAGAAGCCGAAGGAACUGGCCUUGGAUCUUUAUACCGAACUGAUAAGUUGACAUAUCAGCUCAGAAGAAAAUAUCAACGGGUCUCUUUCCUUGAAUAUAUGCGACAUCAUCUACACCGCUACUUUAUCUGCUGGAGGUGUGGUUGAAUCUCUGGCGACUUAAGAGGAGGAUUCAAAACUGAAACUUUGGCUUAGAAAGCAAGACAUACGCUCCAUCCUGUUAUGCCGUUACUGCACAAGAUUUGAUGAGAACUUUGAUGUAGCGAUAACUUUAAUUGAAGUUGUAUCAGCACGACUAGUUAGUAUUUGACAUUUUAAUGGAAAUAAUGAGUAACUUCUAGAUUUCAAAACUACAUGAUUGUAUCCUUCUGUUCAUUAGUGUUGGUUUUAUUCAUUUCUAUUCUUUUCAUUUAUUAAAAAUUAGUUCCAGUAGAAAAGCAAAUUCUGUGAAUUUUAACAGUGAGAAUAGCCACAUAUGACAAGCCAAAUUACUCUCUUUAAUGUGUAAGCAUACAAAAUAGCAUGAGUUAUGGUUUUGUUUUCUUUUUAUUGAUAUACAUGCAAACAUUUUUUGGUGCUAAUCAAUGUAUCAAUAAAUAAAAAGCUGAAUUUUUCUUUAACAAAAGACUGAUCUUAAGGCUUUUCUCCAAACCAAGAUGGCCAGGGCUGUUUUGAUCAGAUAGCAAAUAAAUGUACAAUGGUUGAUUUCUGAAAUUAUUAAACCAGACUCUGACUUCUGAUGGUCCUUUGA
Molecule: long non-coding RNA, 861 nt
Filed under: Patiria miniata (bat star)
Lineage: Eukaryota; Metazoa; Echinodermata; Asteroidea; Valvatida; Asterinidae
Description: uncharacterized LOC119719754
Source: RNAcentral